GAUGUAGAACGUAGCGAAAUGCGAUACUUGGUGUGAAUUGCAGAAUCCCGUGAACCAUCGAGUCUUUGAACGCAAGUUGCGCCCGAAGCCAUUAGGCCGAGGGCACGCCUGCCUGGGUGUCACACGUCGUUGCCCCCCCAUCUACUCCUUCGGGAUUGCGGGGGGCGGAUGAUGGCCUCCCGUGCGCCUCGUCGCGCGGUUGGCAUAAAUGCCAAGUCCUCGGCGACGCACGCCACGACAAUCGGUGGUUGCGAAACCUCGGUUGCCCGUCGUGUGCGGUCGUCGCGCAUCGAGGGCUCGAAAAAAUUGCCGGGCUCCGGCUCGGCUUUCAACGCGACCCCAGGUCAGGCGGGGUUACCCGCUGAAUUUAAGCAUAUCAAUAAGCGGAGGA
RNAcentral lists this unclassified non-coding RNA (391 nucleotides) under soil metagenome. RNAcentral describes it as "partial contains 5.8S ribosomal RNA, internal transcribed spacer 2, and large subunit ribosomal RNA". The stretch from base 1 to 122 matches the Rfam family "5.8S ribosomal RNA", at positions 35 to 154 of the family's 154-position model. The record is from RNAcentral.